GACGAACGCUGGCGGCGUGCUUAACACAUGCAAGUCGUGCGGUAAGGUCCUCUCGGGGGUACACGAGCGGCGAACGGGGGAGUAACACGGGAGAAACCUGCCCUUCACUUUGGGACAACUGCCGGAAACGGUGGCUAAUACGGGCUAUGACUUCCUCCAGCAUGUGGGGUGGUGGAAAGGCUGCGGGUGGUGGGGGAUUGGCUCGCGGUUCAUCAGUCUGAUGGUGAGGUGAUGGCCUACCAGGGCUACGACGGGUAGCCGGCCUGAGAGGGUGACCGGCCACACUGGCACUCACCCACGGCCCACACUCCUACGGGAGGCAGCAGUGUGGAAGAUUGGACGAUGCGCCAAAGCCUGAUGCAGCAUCGCCGCCUUAUGGAUUACGGCCUUCUUUUUUUAGACCUCUUCCGCCUUCGACGAAGAGUGAGUGACGGUACCAUGUAAAGAAGCACCGGCCAACUACGUG
Molecule: ribosomal RNA, 466 nt
Filed under: uncultured bacterium
Lineage: Bacteria
Description: partial 16S ribosomal RNA
Rfam family: Bacterial small subunit ribosomal RNA
Source: RNAcentral